CGUAACUUUUCCAUUACUCGCGCUAGAGUUGUUCACACUGGUUUAGAUUUUCGGUUUAGUCCUGUUAAGCGUUGUUCAAUUGGUUUUCGGGUCAAACUAUCUGUUGAACCGAACCGAUCCGAUCUGCAGUGUGCUUGUUCGUCAUCUCAGGUUUUGAUUCAUUUUCUCGCUGAAGCUAUCGGCUCUGUUUUCAAAGACCAUUUCAAUGACAUCCUUAGAUAUUCGUUCACUGCUUGUAUUCUCUGCCAUUUUUCGAGUUAUUUUGAUUGUGUAUGGAGAGUGGCAAGAUACUCAUAUGGAGGUUAGAUACACUGAUGUUGACUACCUUGUCUUUUCUGAUGCUGCUGCUUUAAUGGCUGUGGGUGAUUCCCCCUAUAAGAGAACCACUUAUCGCUAUUCCCCUUUGCUUGCCUUUCUUCUCAUUCCAAAUUCAUUUAUCCAUCGCUCCUGGGGAAAGUUCCUUUUCUCUGCUUCAGAUAUACUUGUAGGAUAUUUCAUAUAUUAUAUUCUAAAGCUACGGAAGGCUCCAGAAAAUAUGUGCAACAUUUCUGUCAUGGCAUGGCUCUUUAAUCCAUUUACCUUCACCAUUGGGACACGUGGAAACUGUGAGCCUAUUGUUUGUGCAGUGAUAUUGUGGAUCAUGAUCUGUCUUUUGAAAGGUAAUGUGUUACAGUCAGCAUUUUGGUAUGGACUUGUUGUCCAUUUCAGGAUUUAUCCUAUAAUUUACUCUAUUCCUAUAAUCCUGGUUCUUGAUCCGAACUUCUUCCCAUCUAAUCAGAAACCUGUCCUAAGGAACUGGAGUGCUGUUCAAGGAGAGAGACCUAAAGAUGGAAGUGGCUCGCAUACUUUACACAAUCUAUUUAAAAGCAUAUUCACGUGGAACAGGGUGGUAUUUGGACUGGUCUCAGGAUUGGUUUUCCUCUUUUGUACUGGUCUUUUCUACUGUUUAUAUGAGUGGGAAUUCCUACACGAGGCUCUGUUGUACCAUCUUACUAGAACUGAUCCAAGGCAUAACUUCUCCAUCUAUUUCUAUCACAUAUAUCUUCAUUAUGGGUAUGAUACUUCAGUGGUGGAAAAGCUUAUCUCCUUUUUGCCCCAAUUUUUGGUUCAGCUGGUUCUUAUCUUCUGCUUUGCACAAGAUUUGCCAUUUUGCAUAUUUGUGCAGACCGUGGCCUUUGUGGCAUUCAAUAAGGUGAUUACAGCUCAGUAUUUUGUUUGGUUCUUUUGCUUGUUGCCUCUAAUACUUCCUUGGAGUAAAAUGAAACUUAGAUGGGAUGGGUUAUCUUGCAUUCUUUUGUGGAUUGGGGCUCAGACCCAUUGGUUGAUGUGGGGCUACCUGCUUGAGUUCAAGGGUAAAAAUGUCUUCUUGCAGCUUUGGGCAGCAAGCUUACUGUUUCUAGCAGCCAACAUAUACAUCCUUGUCAUGAUUAUUCGUAACCAUAGAUAUGCUUCAGUUUUCAAAGCUUUAGAGUAUGCUAACUCCAAGAAUGCAGCUAAGCUUGAUUGAAGUUGAGAACCAACAAUCAUGUCAAAAUUCGUGGACUAUUAUAUUUUAAACGUGAAAAACAAAUUGGUGAAAUCGAUGUAUUCUUGUUAUGUUAAUCCUGUAAUCUUUUUUCAAUGCAUUAUCUUAAUCAAUGAAUAUGUUUUUAUCGCUGUCAGCCUUUUGUUAAAUUGUUAUUGAUCUGAACUUGUAGAAUUGACCUUAAGAUCUUUCGAGAAACUCUCCUUAUUCUCCUCUGCUGUAUUUGAAAACAUGUCAGUUACAAUUUACAAAUUGAUGUUUAAUCAAGGGUCAAAAUUCCUGCCAAGUAACCCCUGAAUCUGAACUAGUUUUAAGGACCAAACUUGCCCACUGGUUUUAUCCCUAAAUCUAGACGGUAGGGCCAGUUCGUCUGAUUGUAAGGAGUCAAGGAGAAAGUGUAAUUUACAUAAAGCAUCAGAACGUCCUAAUGGUUAAAUUGACAGGAUUGUUGGAAAUAGAGCAGUUGUUGAAUAUAUUAUUAGUUCUAGCAUAACAGAGAUAUAGAUUUUUAAGAGUAAAGAAGCCAAUGGGAAGCAUGACAAAAACUUGCAUAUCAAACCAACAGCUAAUGUUCUUCAGGCGUCAAUUGCAUACUCCUCCGACAUUUUCUUGAUUACUGGACAAUUUAAUACAUUGCCAAACUUUACCCAAACAAACAUGGUAGACGAGAAUUGUCAUGAAAUGAAGAUAAAAGGAUGUUGGUAUCAGAGGUGUACCAUGUGAGAUGUGGUGUACCUAAACAACAUCAAGUCAUUGCUCUUUGAAUUUAUUACUGCUUUAAAAGGGUAUCUGAGAUUCGUCAACUACAACCUGUAAAAAAGGCGAGGGAUAUUCUCAUUUGGGAAUUUGCGUGCCGGUCCUUAGUGUUUUCAGGCUUAGGCAAAGCUUAGUUGAAAUGAGACCACACAUUGAGAUGAAGCCACACAGAAAACCUUAGUGGCCAAACUUCAUGGCUCAUUCUGCAAACAUUCUGCCAGCCUUCUGAUGCUGAAGAAGAUUGUAUCUCCCAAAGUGUGGUGAGGUUAGAAACAUGGGACUCGUUGGGGUCCUGUUUCUGUGAGCUUGAGGUUUUCUAAUGUUGAAACCCUAGAGGCCUAAGGUAUGGUAAGACUAAGGUUGUCCUUUGGCCAUUGGAGCGAAGUCAGAUUAGACAAAUGGCAACCACCUCCAAUGCCAAAAAGAUGAUGAUGGGGGACAUAGAAGAGGAGGAUACCACACGUAGCGGUCAACCUCGCUAUAGCGGGAUAAAUUAUAGAGGGGUAGUCACUAUUUUGAAUUUUUUAUGUAGUUUAUAUCAUGUAUACUAAACACAUUUAUAUUAACAAUGAUCUUAACAAAAAAUACAAAAAUAUACUAACGAGUCAAAUUCAAGUUUCCUAUAUAGGAAUAACUAAUGAUUCAUCACUCUUUUUAAAUC
Molecule: RNA transcript, 2942 nt
Organism: Vigna angularis (adzuki bean)
Lineage: Eukaryota; Viridiplantae; Streptophyta; Magnoliopsida; Fabales; Fabaceae
Gene name: GPI mannosyltransferase 1
Exons: 7
Source: RefSeq, a predicted model, not a curated record